AAGAAGCACUUGAGGAUUGUGGAAUUCACAUCAACUAGAAAAUCUAACUCAGGGCUGGUGAUGUGGGUAACAGGUCGAGUAAGACGAGAUGUUGCUACGAAUUGUUGUUUUAUUUGCAUUAUGUUUAACUGUUUUAUUGGCGGAUAAGAAUUUUUGGGGCAAUGAUAUAUGCACAUCACCCAACGAUUGUACAGGUCCAAUGGAAUGUCAUCCUGAAUUUGGAUGUACAAUCGAUAGCGCAAUUGAAAAGUUGGCCACAGUUAGAUUGGGAUAUUUGGCUGCAUGGUUGUAUAUCUGCUGCUGCUGCAUUGGAGUCUGUGUAUGCAUACGAUGUUCAAGAUGGGCUAAACAGCGUACCGUAGUCGCUUCAAACAACAAUUAUGUGACACAGUCCGUAGCAGCGAAUCACAAUCUACUGGACGAUCUAAACAUGGAUAAUCCACCACCUUAUUGUCAACACCAACAAAUGUGAACUAAAAUAACGAAGGCAUCUAGCAAUAGUGUGAUUCCCAUGUAAAUCUGCUUUGUAACGAAUAUUAAGGAGUCCAAUACAAAGUC
This is a long non-coding RNA of Bradysia coprophila, 558 nucleotides long. RefSeq lists it as uncharacterized. The record is from RefSeq and is a predicted model, not a curated record. Lineage: Eukaryota; Metazoa; Arthropoda; Insecta; Diptera; Sciaridae.